This 34-nucleotide ribosomal RNA is filed under the name Cestrum pittieri. RNAcentral describes it as "partial 25S ribosomal RNA". Lineage: Eukaryota; Viridiplantae; Streptophyta; Magnoliopsida; Solanales; Solanaceae. The record is from RNAcentral.
UCGCGACCCCAGGUCAGGCGGGACUACCCGCUGA